GAUGAACGCUGGCGGCGUGCCUAAUACAUGCAAGUCGAACGAAGCCUUCGGGCUUAGUGGCGGACGGGUGAGUAACACGUUGGUACCUGCCUCGAAGUGGGGAAUAACUGGCCGAAAGGUCGGCUAAUACCGCAUGUGAUCGCAAGAUCAAAGUCGUAAGACGCUUCGAGAGGGGCCUGCGUCCCAUUAGCUAGUUGGUAGGGUAAUGGCCUACCAAGGCGACGAUGGGUAGCUGGAUCGAGAGGUUGACCAGCCACACUGGGACUGAGAUACGGCCCAGACGCCUACGGGAGGCAGCAGUAAGGAAUCUUCCACAAUGGACGAAAGUCUGAUGGAGCGACGCCGCGUGCAGGAUGACGGCCUUCGGGUUGUAAACUGCUUUUAUAUGGGAAGAUUAUGACGGUACCAUAUGAAUAAGGACCGGCUAACUACGUGCCAGCCGCCGCAGUAA
RNAcentral lists this ribosomal RNA (451 nucleotides) under uncultured bacterium. RNAcentral describes it as "partial 16S ribosomal RNA". It matches the Rfam family "Bacterial small subunit ribosomal RNA", at positions 28 to 523 of the family's 1533-position model. The record is from RNAcentral.